GAUGAACGCUAGCGGCAGGCUUAACACAUGCAAGUCGAGGGGUAUAGGGAGCUUGCUUCCUAGAGACCGGCGCACGGGUGCGUAACGCGUAUGCAAUCUACCUUUUGCAGAGGGAUAGCCCAGAGAAAUUUGGAUUAAUACCUCAUAGUAUGUGAGAAUGGCAUCAUUUUCACAUUAAAGUCACAACGGCAAAAGAUGAGCAUGCGUCCCAUUAGCUUGUUGGUAAGGUAACGGCUUACCAAGGCAACGAUGGGUAAGGGGUCCGUGAGAGGGAGAUCCCCCACACUGGUACUGAAACACGGACCAGACUCCUACGGGAGGCAGCAGUGAGGAAUAUUGGACAAUAGGGCGCAAAGCCUGAUCCAGCCAUGCCGCGUGCAGGAAUAAGGCCUAUGGAUGUAAACUGCUUUAUACAGGAAGAAACACAACCCUCCGUGAAGGGUACGUUAGACGGUACGUAGUAUGAAU
RNAcentral lists this ribosomal RNA (468 nucleotides) under uncultured bacterium. RNAcentral describes it as "bacterial SSU rRNA". It matches the Rfam family "Bacterial small subunit ribosomal RNA", at positions 28 to 491 of the family's 1533-position model. The record is from RNAcentral.